UUUAAAAUGUUAAAUAAUUCAUAUAAACUUAUUCUUUUUCUCAAUGGUCUCUUGCGUAAGCAGCCAUCCAGUCUCACGAACUUAUAUAUUAAAUAUUAAAAUUAUAAUGAAUAAAAUAAAAAAACAUAAUUAAUUUUACUAUUAAUUCUGUGUAUUCGUUUAGUAAUCAGGUUAAAAUAAUAUUUCAGUUCAUAAUUUGUGUCUUUCUAGAUAAGUAUCUAUUUUUCUCGUUUUGUAUAUUUCACAUACAUAAAUUUUAUCAGAAAAGUAUAAGUUUCAAACCGCGAGAUAGCGCUACCGUCGAAACUCACAGCCAAUAGUGCAAAAAUGGAUAGUAGAAAGGAACAGAAUGGAAAAAGGGAUAGAUGUGAAUUUUGUGGCAGUGAAAGAAAUGAUCGAGCGAAUGAUUGAAAAUAAAUCAGGUUGAAGUAGUAUACAAAACUACAUCCGUGCAGUGAUCAAGAAUAAAGAAGAGAACGAAACACAGCUGUACCAAAGACAAAGGUAUGAAAAAUAAAAAAAAAGGAUGUGACGUUACUAACUUCUGUAUGUACACGUGAAUAAUGAUGCUUAAUAAUUCCGAGUAGAGAGAAAUAUGAUCCAAAUUUGCAGACAAGGAAAUACACUUCAGGUUAAAGUUAAGGGCAAAAAGACUAUUAAACUUAAAUAACGGUAAAUGACGUGAAAAAAUAUAUACCAUACUAGUUUUUAUACCAUACUAGUGGAGGACUAAAUAGUAUUUUUGUUAUUUUAAAUUUUAUUUUGUCGGGUUACAAGAAUAUAUUUUUAUUUUAACUUAA
Molecule: long non-coding RNA, 800 nt
Organism: Diabrotica virgifera virgifera (western corn rootworm)
Lineage: Eukaryota; Metazoa; Arthropoda; Insecta; Coleoptera; Chrysomelidae
Exons: 2
Source: RefSeq, a predicted model, not a curated record